GAUGAACGCUGGCGGCGUGCCUAAUACAUGCAAGUCGAGCGAACAGACGAGGAGCUUGCUCCUCUGACGUUAGCGGCGGACGGGUGAGUAACACGUGGAUAACCUACCUAUAAGACUGGGAUAACUUCGGGAAACCGGAGCUAAUACCGGAUAAUAUAUUGAACCGCAUGGUUCAAUAGUGAAAGACGGUUUUGCUGUCACUUAUAGAUGGAUCCGCGCCGCAUUAGCUAGUUGGUAAGGUAACGGCUUACCAAGGCAACGAUGCGUAGCCGACCUGAGAGGGUGAUCGGCCAAACUGGAACUGAGACACGGUCCAGACUCCUACGGGAGGCAGCAGUAGGGAAUCCUCCGCAAUGGGCGAAAGCCUGACGGAGCAACGCCGCGUGAGUGAUGAAGGUCUUCGGAUCGUAAAACUCUGUUAUUAGGGAAGAACAAAUGUGUAAGUAACUAUGCACGUCUUGACGGUACCUAAUAAGAAAGCCACGGCUAACUACGUG
RNAcentral lists this ribosomal RNA (497 nucleotides) under uncultured bacterium. Its description in RNAcentral is "partial 16S ribosomal RNA". It matches the Rfam family "Bacterial small subunit ribosomal RNA", at positions 28 to 507 of the family's 1533-position model. The record is from RNAcentral.